Molecule: long non-coding RNA, 5167 nt
Organism: Phascolarctos cinereus (koala)
Lineage: Eukaryota; Metazoa; Chordata; Mammalia; Diprotodontia; Phascolarctidae
Source: RefSeq, a predicted model, not a curated record
GUCACAUACCUAGUAAGUAUCUGAGGCCAGAUUUGAACCUGGGGCUUAAAUGCGGGCAUAUCUGAUGAUAGCUAAAUAUUAAUGAGGCCUUCCAACAUGAAAACGCUGCCCACCCCCGGUAUGCAUGCACCUUUAAGUCAUUCCUCAAAACAAUUUCAAACUGUUUUCCAGAACGGUCAGACCAGUUCACGGAUCUACCCACAGUAUACCGGCAUGCUGGGCUUUUCGCAGACCCUCCCACAUUACUGUUCCCUUCUUGAGGCUGUUGAUGUCCAUUUCUCUUCACAUUAGUGAUUGGGAUCAGUCUUUCAUAUGAUUGCUAAUCUCAUGGAAUUAUUUUUUUAAGAAGUGCUGGUACUAUCUUUUGUUGCUAGCCAUUGGUGAACAGCUCUUGGUCUUACAUAUUUGUGUUUGUUGUAUGGAUGACACCAGCAAACUACUUGUUUCUGAGCAGUUUGGGACUUCCCACCUUCUGAUCAGGCUUCUGGAGGCCCCAAGAAAGCAACAGCACCCGCAGCAGUAAGGUCCAAUAGAAGAUGCUAUACGCCUGGCUCCAUCAGCUGGCCCUUUCCUAAGCACUGACACUGCCUGAACUCAUUCUCAGGGGUUGGCAUAGUAUCCCUCCCCCUUCGGGUCCCUUAUCCUCCCCAUCUCAGUCACAUGGAACCCCCAACUAAAAAACAAGAAGUGACCCCUGCUCUGAUUAUCUCCUCAUUCCCAUCCUUCUCCACUUUACACCCCCAUUUUCCUCCCUCAGAUCGACCUGCCCCUGCCACUGUGUUUUUUGUCACUUGUGCUCUGGAAGCCACAAACUGUCCCAUUUUAAACCUUUUGCUCUCCCACCCCAUCUUCUUGAACUCACGGAGAACUGUCUCCUUCCCGAUGACAUCGUCACUGGUCACCAGCACCAGCUACACUUUCUGUCAUCCCCCUUAUUCCCUAAUCACUGGUCCCACAGGGGGAGCUGGAAUGUCCUUUGCUCUCCAUUGCCACUUACAGUCUCUCCCUCUCUUGCCAUCACUCAGUAAGCUCUCCAUGACCGUGCCUGCCACCCAAUCAAGCUCAACAUUCCAGCAGCUGUCAUUUACCAACCUCCAGGACAUUCAAGCCCAUUCCUUCCUCGGCGAAUUCAGUGCCCAGCUCCUGCCCUCAUACCAAAGGACUUCCACCUACACACGGAGACUGUUGAUGACCCUUAAUUCUACCGAGGCUCCCUCAAACACCCUAAACUUCCAGCCUUCAACUGACUCGUUUCCCAUGAACUACUGGGCUAUCCAGAGAUGACCACGCUCUUGAUCCACCCAUUUCUAAUCCCCAAAUCUACCACUUCUGUGUUCAUGAAUUCGAAAUCCGCUUGUCUAAUCAGUCUGUCCUCACUCUGCCUCUCCCACCUUGCUCUUCACACUCGCCGUCCUCUUCAGUCCCUCAACCCCUCAUUUGUUCCCUAGGCUGACACCCCUGCACCGCUGACACUCUCCUCCCUUACCCAACCUGAUCUCUUGGUGAACCAGUUCAACUCUACACUGUCUUCUUGAAUCCGUUCCCCUUAUGCUUUCAAAGAUACUGACAUUCCUUGACCCGGCCUUGGAUCACUCUCAUCGUCCUCUGCCUUUGCAGAGGAUCUACUCGCUGCUGAUCAAUGCCGGGGAAAAUCACAAAACCUUGCUAACUGGAUCCACUACAGAUUGAUGCUCCACAGUCCCAGCUGGGCCCUUACUGUAACAAGGCAAUCUUCUCAUACUUCUCUGAUCAACUUGCUGUCCCACUCUCCAAAGCAGUUCAUCCAAACCCUCUUCGUCCCUCCUCAAACCUCCCAGAGUGCCCCUUUGCCUCAUAUCCUACUGAAAAAAAUGCGACCAUUUGCUGAGAGCUCCCUCUUCUCCAUCCUAUCUCAUACCACCUAGGAGCUGUCUGCCAUUCUCUCCUUCACCCAUUUUACAUGAUAAGGGGCCCUUCUCUGCCAAGCCAACCCCUCUACAUGCACCCAUUAGUCCCUAGCUGCCUCAUGUAGGAGGCCUUUCAUAAUCCCCAAAGCUGACAGUGCCUUCCCCUCCAAGAUUCCUUCCACCUAUUCUGAAUGCAUCAUAUAUGUACCGAGGUGAUAUUCAUUCUGCCUCCCCUGUUAGAAUGUAAGCUUCCUGAAGACAGGGACAGUUUUUGCUUUCUCUUUGUAUCCCAGGCACUUAUACAACUACUGACAUAUAGUAAGUGCUUAAUAAAUAUUGGAUAAUUGAUGGAUGGAUGCUUAGGUAUUUCAGAGGCAUCUCAAAUUAAACGUCUCUAAAACAGAACUCAUUAUCUUUUCUCCAAACCCUCCCCUCUUCCAAAUUUCCCUGUUAUUGCUGAAGGUACCACCAUCCUCCUGGUCAGCUGGGCUCCCAACCUCCCUGUUGUCCUGGACUCCUCUGUCAUCCCACGGAUGAUUCACAGCGUCUCUUGUAUUCCCUUCUUUCCACUCCCACUGCCCUCACCUUCAAGCAGGCCCUAAUUGCUUCUCACCUGGACUAUCCCAGUAACUUCUGGCAGGUUGCCCUGACCUCUUCCUGCUCCAGCCCAGGUAUCAGAGCGAUCUUCCCAAAACAUGGUUCUGACCAUAUCAAAUGCCCCCAAUCCAUAAAUUCCAGUGGCUCCCUAUUACCUCCAGGAUCAAAUAUAAACAACUUUGUCACUUAAAGUCCUUCACCAUAAACAGUGAUUCCUUCUUGUCUCCCUAUCACCGAGGCCUGCAGCCACUCUUGUCUUUUUUUCAUGCCUCUCUCUCCAUUGCCAGAGGUCAGGAAACUACCAGCAUAGCCAAAGAACACAUGCUUUCCCAAUACCCAGCCCUGACUCGAGAAGAAGAGAGAGCUGUUUGGGGUCACUCAAUGUUUACUUCUACAGCAGAUGACAGAAUGAGUGCCUGCACGGGAGGCUCUACCAGAAAGCGGUGAUGGCUGUCCUUUCCCCAAGGCCAUGAAGGCCAAGGGAAGGGUCAUGGGAACCAGGGUGGACAAAAGGAUAGCGGCCCUGGCAGGGACGAGCGGUGAGCCUAGCCCCGAAAGUCUGGAUGGGCCAGCUGAGCACUGUGCCCAGUAUAAUGAAGACACAACUGAUAACAAGUAGCUUUGUGAGCUGAAGACUGGGGACGACGUCCCUCCCCACUUGCCAUCCUGGAGACUGCCGAUGUGCCGGCCUGGGGUGUCCAUGUUUGCCAAAAGAAUGGCAUCGUUCCCAUGGAGGAGCCGGAGAUCUUUACUGAAGAACCUGACAGGAGCACUGUCAGUAUGUCACUAGAAAGGCCGGCAUGAAAAGGAUGCCUCCAUCACCCUAAGGCCCUCACACAAACCAAGGGCCCUAAGAAAAGGUUAGGGACCUUUGGAGACCCGGGUGGAAAGAAGGGACAUGUCACAGCUGCCAAGGAGCCUCCACGGGUGCUAAGAGCCAACCACUCAGGGCUGGUGCAGGGCAAGUGGAGAGUCGGGAGCCGCAGCAGGCUAGUCUCUGUGCCUGGGAUGUCCAAAGCUCCCACGCGUGUGUGCCCUCACCCUGCGGCUCAGUCCUCAUGGUCCAGCACGGGGCAGAGGCUCCCCGCACCCAUCGUUACUAAGCUGUGCGGGGGUGGCUAGAGACCUUCCUCAGCCACCGCUUCCACUAACCACUCCACAACGACCACGUCCUUGCCGGUUCCUCUCCUCGCCGCUCUCGGGUCCCAUCCCCCACGCGGACCGCUUCUGUCUGCCCAGGACGCCCCACGGAAGAUCUCCUGCCCCGGCCCGGCUUUCCUAACCCCCGCGCUCCCCGACUGCCUGCGGGCAGGAGAGGAUGUCUGGCACUCCCCCUCCACCAGUCCAGCACAGGCCGCGCGUGCCGCCCUCGUGCAAAGCGCACUUCCCCGUCGGUCGGUCACGUGGCGAGAGGAAACAGACCAGAGUGGGAGGCUGGGGGCGAGACGUCCGCCUGGCCCCGCAGCUCUCCGGAGGUGGACGGCGUUCCCGGGCGCUGCGCCGGGGCCACGGAGGUACAGCACGGGGCGCCGGGCACGGGGGCAGAAACGAAGCCUCCCCCGUUCGCGCGGAGGGCAGGGGCCACUUUGCCCCCGGGUGCGGGCGCUGGGCUAGCCCGCCAAGCUCCUCAAACCCGGCGGCGGAGCUUGGGGGGGGCGGAGCCGGGCCUCGCCGGUCUCCGUAGGACUUCAGCCACGCCUACGUAGCAGCCCCCCGGGCGCUGGACUCCAUUUCCCAGAAAGCACUGCGAAGGCGCCCUGGGCCCUGGCGCGGUUUCCACGUAUUACGUCACUUCCGCCUGCCUAAACUCCCUGCCAGGGUUCUCCCUGUCAGCAGCCACUGUUGGCACUGAAUCCUGAGUCCCUCCGGGCCGGGGAGAGAGGAGUCUGCCAGGGACGGAGUGGAUGGGGCUUCAAGAGCUGUGAGGGACGGGGGCUCCGAGCUAAGCCCAAGAGGAGCAAGACCUCGCCUCCGCCUCCUUGCUUGGGGCGGUGCCCUCGGGAGCCCGGCUUUUCCUCCUCCUUUUAGGCCCCGCCCUGGAGGACCAGUACUCUGUUAGGAGAAGGUGGAGCCAGAACUGACCACAGUGCCCUGGACAAAGCCUGACCAGUGCAAGGGACAGAGGGCCGCUGCCACCCAUAAGCUUCUCUGGCUGCUUGUGGUCCGCCAAAAGCUCCCAUCCCAUCCCUCUUAGAACUGCUGUCCCCUCUUCAUGUACUGGAGUGGAGUUUUUUUGGUAGCCAAUUGCAAUUUACUGCAAUUCUAUUUACCCCUAGCAUUCAUCUUAUUAGAUUCCGCCUGAUGCUCUCUCCCGUAGUUAUCCCUCACCAACUUUGCAUCAGCUACCGAUUUGAUGAGUUGAAAUCUAUGCCUUUAUCCAAGUCACUGACUACAAUGUUAGACAGCACAGAUGUCAGGGAUACUCUGCUGAAGACCUCCUGCCAUGUUGACAUUGCUCCAUAAACAACUUGUCUUCGAGUGGUCAUCCAAGCUACUCUAAAAUAAUUGGAUCGUAUUAUAAUGGCUAGCAUUUGAAUGUUGCUUUAAGUAUUUUAUUUGUUAUUAAUUUAAUCCUUUCUAUAACCCCAUGAGGGAGAUGCCAUUGUAAUCCUAACUUUACAGAUGAGGAAACAGAAGUUCUAGAGUUUAAGUUAUUUACUUAAUAAAUUAAUUGUUUAAUCUGA